UGCGUAGGCGGCCUGACAAGUCAGAAGUGAAAGGCUACGGCUCAACCGUGGUAAGCUUUUGAAACUGUCAGGCUUGAGUGCAGGAGAGGAGAGCGGAAUUCCUGGUGUAGCGGUGAAAUGCGUAGAUAUCGGGAGGAACACCAGCGGCGAAGGCGGCUUUCUGGCCUGCAACUGACCCUGAGGGACGAAAGCCAGGGGAGCGAACG
This 206-nucleotide ribosomal RNA is filed under the name uncultured bacterium. RNAcentral's name for it is "partial 16S ribosomal RNA". It matches the Rfam family "Bacterial small subunit ribosomal RNA", at positions 568 to 774 of the family's 1533-position model. The record is from RNAcentral.